This 3133-nucleotide unclassified non-coding RNA is filed under the name Helicoverpa zea (corn earworm). RNAcentral describes it as "uncharacterized LOC124635636, transcript variant X1". Lineage: Eukaryota; Metazoa; Arthropoda; Insecta; Lepidoptera; Noctuidae. The record is from RNAcentral.
AGAUCUUGUACUAACGCCAAACUAAAGUUCAGUUUAGAAGUUUAGAAUAGUUUAUGGUUGCCAUUUUGUUUUGCGAAAACGACGCUCGCUUGCUUUUCUUGCUUUUGUUCGUGAAUGAGUGUAUUCAAAAGUAAAGUUUUGUGAAUAAAACCACGGAUGUGUAUAUAAACAAUCGCUGACAUAAGAUGAAUUCGACAAUAUCCGAUGAUUUAUCCCGUGAACAUUUAUCGUUAGAAGCUGUAAAGUGUAUAAAAAAUAUAUCUUCGAACAGCCAGGCAGUUACGUUACUGCACAAGGAACUGUUAGAAAUAAAUCUCUCGAUAAUUACGUACAUUGAGGAAAGCAAGCAGCGACUUGCAAGGCUACGCAUGAGCUUGGCGCAUGACGCGAAGAGUUCUCAUAGAGUUGUAGAAAUAUUAUCUGAUAAAUAAAAUGUCAUCACCAGCCACACCUCAUAAGCGUACCAGUCAAGUAAAACUAAUGAAGGCAUCUCAUGAAACCAACAACAAUACGAGCAACAAAUUCUGUGAACGUCAACAAGCUAGAACAUUUAUCAGCUGGUACAAACGCAUGAUAGAUAAUGAACGGUACAACUUAGCACUGUACUUAUCUGACGAUGCUAUGCUUGAAUGGUUCGGACGGACCAUUAAAACAAGAAAAAAAGUUACAGCCUUCCUAAAAUAUGAUAUGCAAUGUUCACGCCAUGAUUUCACUACAGUUGAAAGUAUAAAUAAGAUUCAAACGAGGCAUGAGAGAGUGCAAAGGAAAGAUGACUCAGUCCUGGCUAGUCUACUGCACUCCCCUGAAAUCAUAAGAACAAAAGACAGAUGUCACAAAAGGAGGCUGCUCAGGUCCAACUGCAACAGCCCAGAGUGGGCUGAGGGUUGCCAGCCUCAAGAUGAAAUUAGCAUAGACAAGAAUCAAAAGACUGACAAAAGUGGGCCUGAUGUAGAAAAUAUUAAUGAACUAGAUCACAACACAUUGAAAAGAUCAUUCCCAGACGAUGAUUCAGAUAUAAGCAGCAAAGGCGAUGGCUUACGUAAGGUGAAGAGGAAGUGUGUGCCGGUCACACCUCCCAACAAUGAAGUCGGACAAGGGGACUGUCUUCCUUCCACAAGUGGAACAGAUUCAGGCAGGUCACAUGAUACACUUAAUGCCCAGUUGCCAAAAUUAGCUGUUGAGUGUAACGGCUACAUAGAGUUCACUAGAACAAGGAACAGUCGAAGUACUGAUGCUAUGAAAUGGGAAAGGAAGUGUAAAGUACAAAUAAGUUACUCAGAAGAUCCUUUGAAUGUUGGUGAGUAUAUAAUUUGGGCAUUACAGUAUACAGAUGACAGUAAGUGUAGAAGGAACCUGCUGGCUGCUUUUGAGGAGGUUGCUAAAGAAGAGGAACUUAAGAAAGUUUAGAAAUAGGAUUUAUUAAUUUUACUGUCGAAUUUAUUAGAAGCAAUAUGUUGCCAGUUUGUAAAUUGUUAUGAAAUAGUUUCUACUAUUUGUUAUUGUAUUGUAUAAGGGCACUAGGAAUAAUUUUAUUACUGCCAUUUCAUGUUUUUCUUUCAUUGAUUGCAUGAAAAUUAUUCUUAUUAUCCUUCCAGUGACCAAACUUUAUAAUUUAAGCACACAAAAUGCAUGAUUCUUGUAUUGGUAGAGGCUACCUAUCCAUUUACUUACAUAAAUAUUUAUAGAACAAACGAAUUUGACAGUAAAAUUACCCAUUAGAUGAAAGCAAUUUAUACUAUUGAUAACCAUGUGAUAUAAAGAAGAUAUUGUAUUUUUCUAUGUUAAAGCAUUUAUUUUUUUGUAUGUUUACAAUGUGACCAACUGUACCUCUUGACGAUAUGAAUUUGUAUGCUAGCAAUGAUUUUUAAUGUUUUACUGCUGUAUUCUAACUACCAAAGUUUUACUUUAUCCAACUACUAGGUAAGGCGAGUGAAUAUAAUAUAGAUGUGUUUUGCGCGCCGAAAAAUCAUCCCUCAUAUGGGGUUUACUACCAUGUAGUAACUUUUUAUUUCUUUAAAAUCUUAGAAUCUUGUAACCUUCGAUUUUAGAGAUUAAAAUCCAAGUUUUAUACUUAGGUAUCAAAUUAUGUAACUUUUCGUUAAUACUUUUCAUUUCUUGAAUAUUCUGUUUGCAAAAAAAUUAUUUCUUCUUAGCUUUGUAAAGCCAAAAAACCAUCAGUUUCGAUGAGAAUAAAUUUGUGAUUAGUUCAGUUUCGUGCCAUUUCGGCAAUCGUGCGACAAAAGUCUGAAUAUGAACGUGCGACAGCUGACCGCGUCUAUCGCAUGCAGACGCGCGCCAUCGGUCAGUGGGUCAGUCACCUCUGAAAUAACGCCAUACAUAAAUUCCCAUAUUCUGUCGCAUUACGCGUGGCAUGAUUUUUUUGUUCCAGAAAUUCUAUUGGUAGUGUAAAACUGCUUUACUCCAUUCCGCUUUGGUGGAGUCUGGUCUUUGUGAUGUUUUAAUUCUACCAAAAUGGUCGUUAUCGACUUCUAAUAAAAGUCACAAUUAUUCUGUUUUAUCUUAAUUGACGGUUUUAUUGCCUUAAUACGAUCUCUGUCUAUUCCACUAUUCUUUUACCACCGACUUGUAGCUUCUAUUCAUUAGGAAUAGUUAUUAAUUAUAAUUACGAAAAUUAGCUUAGAAAUAGAACUUAUUUUAAAAUUGUGACUUGCAUGUUGUUUCAUUUACGAAAAUCGUAAAAAAAUAUAUUUCUGUCGGCCGCCUUUUUACAAAAUGUCUGUCGGUUGUGAAUUUGUAAUGUGAUCCAGUAAAACUAUACUGAUAGUGACGCAAAAUUGGAUUACUUAAUUCACUCUAUGGUACCUAGUUUGUCAUAAAGUCAAUUACACUCACAAAAUGUUUUAAUUAGCUUGACCAAUCAUGGUAAUUAGGUUAAUAUUCGCGUAUGGAUAGUACAGGAGUUGCAAACAACUGCUAUUUCUUUAUUUUAUGUUUUGGCUUAAGGAAUUGGGCAAAUGGAUUGUAAAUGAGAUUGCCAAUUGUAUGUUGUUAGUUUUAACUACUUUAAGUUUUAUGUUGUUAACUCAUUACUUGUGAAGUAAUGGCGAUGGGAAUUAUUUUUGUUUUGAUUAUGCUAGAGAUGUAUAAGGUAAAUAAAACUUGUUUAGAAAUA